RNAcentral lists this ribosomal RNA (585 nucleotides) under Triticum aestivum (bread wheat). RNAcentral describes it as "partial small subunit ribosomal RNA". The record is from RNAcentral. Lineage: Eukaryota; Viridiplantae; Streptophyta; Magnoliopsida; Poales; Poaceae.
CACCGAGUUGAGCCCUGGAAAGGGCGUUGGCUGUCGAAGGCGGCACGUGUGAUCCUUAUCAACUCGUCGCUUGCCAGCCUUCUGUGGUUCCUCAUGAGCUUUUACAGCCUUCAUGAAACCCUUCAUCAGGAGAUCGCCAAGUACCAGGCCAGAUUUUUCUGGGCUGGCGAGGCAGGCAGACAGAAAUAUCACAUGGUCAGCUGGCCAGACAUCUGCAAACCCAAAGACCAGGGUGGCCUUGGGAUUUUGUCCUCUCAGCGCAUGAACAUCGCCCUCCUCACCCGCUGGCUAUGGCGCAUUGCCAAUGGGGAGGGAGGCCUUUGGUUGACUAUCAUUCGGAACAAGUACCUGCGUGGCCAGCCUCUGGCGUUCUGCCAGCGCUCGGGCGGUUCCCAGUUUUGGCAGGCAGUCGUCCAGCUGCUUCCAGUCCUGAGGAUAGGCACCUCCAUCUCGGUGGGCUCUGGCGCCUCGACCUUGUUUUGGCUUGAUAGGUGGCUAGGGGACUCCCCCCUGGCCGCCCGGUUCCCCAUCCUCUUCGACAUUGUAGUUGACCCUCGGGUCUCGGUCGAGGCGGCCCUUAUUGAC